Falco peregrinus (peregrine falcon) is the source of this 578-nucleotide long non-coding RNA. RefSeq lists it as uncharacterized. The record is from RefSeq and is a predicted model, not a curated record. NCBI's taxonomy places the organism in Eukaryota, Metazoa, Chordata, Aves, Falconiformes, Falconidae. The transcript has 2 exons.
GCCAGAUCUGAGAAGCUGGAGCCAAGAUUGAUGCUGAAGCUGUGGGUGAACAGGAGGAAGGUCAGCUGCACAGGCAGGACAGGGUCUUGGAAGAUCCAGCACAUGGCUCUGCACCCAAUUCUUCCCUCAAUGUUGCAGGUUCAGACCCACCUGUGUGGAUUGCACUAGCAAUAUGUGGGAGCUCUGCAACCUUCCAUCCAAGCUCCGUCAAGACCCAAACCUUUUACCUCAAAGACCCAUGCACAUCAGGCUCAACAGCCCUGUCUCCCCUACCCCUGAGACAUGAAAAUGUCGUCUUCAUAAUGGAACGUCACUCCUAUGGUCUUCUUCCCAGGUGAGAUCUACAAGUCAGCAGACUUUGCGCCAGAUUUGGCUGAACAAACUGGUGGUGUUUUGCCAGACUCCAGAAGUCAGUGGGGGAGCAAGAGGGAGCAGGAGGCCAGCAGUCCCCUCAGUCCCCGUCUCGAGGUGUGCAGAGAGCAGCUGAGUGCAGCUAUCCUGCUGCUGCACAGCCAGCUGGGAGGCAGCUUCUCCCUUCCCCAAAAUCUCCUGAAGUAAACAGAGAUAAGUGCUGAUAA